GAUGACGCUGGCGGCGUGCCUAAUCCCUGCAAGUCGAGCGAACAGACGAGGAGCUUGCUCCUUUGACGUUGGCGGCGGACGGGGUAGUAACACGUAGGUAACCUACCUAUAAGAGUGGGCUAACUUCGGGAAACCGGAGUUAAUACCGGAUAAUAUUGCGGACCGCAUGGUUCGAUAGUGAAAGAUGGCUUUGCUUUCACUUAUAUAUGGAUCUGCGCCGUAUUAGCUAGUUGGUAAGGUAACGGCUUACCAAGGCAACGAUACGUAGCCGAACUGAGAGGGUGAUCGGCCACACUGGAACUGAGACACGGUCCAGACUCCUACGGGAGGCAGCAGUAGGGAAUCUUGCGCAAUGGGCGAAAGCCUGACGGAGCAACGCCGCGUGAGUGAUGAAGGUCUUCGGAUCGUAAAACUCUGUUAUUAGGGAAGAACAAACGUGUAAGUAACUGUGCACGUCUUGACGGUACCUAAUCAGAAAGCCACGGCUAACUACGUG
This 496-nucleotide ribosomal RNA is filed under the name uncultured bacterium. RNAcentral describes it as "partial 16S ribosomal RNA". It matches the Rfam family "Bacterial small subunit ribosomal RNA", at positions 32 to 507 of the family's 1533-position model. The record is from RNAcentral.